UACGGAAGGCAGCAGUGGGGAAUAUUGCACAAUGGGCGAAAGCCUGAUGCAGCUAUGCCGCGUGUAUGAAGAAGGCCUUAGGGUUGUAAAGUACUUUCAUCGGGGAGGAAAAAAACAAAAACUAAUAAUUUUAUUUUCUUUGACGUUACCCGAAAAAGAAGCACCGGCUAACUCCGUGCCAGCAGCCGCGGUAAUACGGAGGGUGCUAGCGUUAAUCAGAAUUACUGGGCGUAAAGAGCACGUAGGUGGUUUUUUUAAGUUCAGAUGUGAAAUCUCUGGGCUUAACCUAGGAACUGCAUUUUGAAACUGAAAUACUAGAGUAUCGUAGAGGGAGGUAGAAUUCUAGGUGUAGCGGUGAAAUGCGUAGAUAUCUGGAGGAAUACCUGUGGCGAAAGCGGCCUCCUAAACGAAUACUGACACUGAGGUGCGAAAGCGUGGGGAGCAAACAGGGAUUAGAUACC
RNAcentral lists this ribosomal RNA (461 nucleotides) under uncultured bacterium. RNAcentral's name for it is "bacterial SSU rRNA". It matches the Rfam family "Bacterial small subunit ribosomal RNA", at positions 340 to 786 of the family's 1533-position model. The record is from RNAcentral.